CUCUAACGGCUAUAUUCUUGUUUCCACGCCAUCUAAAGCUAUAAAAACAAGAAGAGAGCUAGGGGAGAACUUAUGGAAGUGGGAAAGAAUAUUUAGAGAAGAGAUCUCAAAGAGAUUACAAGAAAAAUACUCCCAUAAGCACAAAAGGGCCAUCCAAAGUGAAAUAGAGAGAAGAAGAGCAUCCAAGUGAAUCCCAAAGCUUCCUCUCCAUCCGUGUGCUGCCUCAAUCAUCCUCUACCUCGUGCCAAAUCAGAAGAGGGUCAAGUAAAGAAGAAGCCGAGUUCCUUCAUCUUCAAAAUUCGUUUGAGAGCUUCUCUUUACACUAUUUUGUUUAUAUUGUUAUAUUUGCUUGUUUAAGAAGCUUUGAUUUAUUUUAAACUUUGUUUUUAAUAUCUUGUAACUUGAUUCAAUCAAGGGAUUGAAUCAAGGGGUUAAGGUUUGUUGGUGAGCCAAAGGGAAAACCAACGGUGAAAGGUUUGUUGGUGAGCCUAGGUUGAAACCAACGGUGUAAGGGUUUGAUUGUGAUCCCGGAAAAACAAUCGGGGUGGUUCUAGUCGGUGAGCCUGGGAAAACCGACCGAGUUCGUUGUGCGCUCGUAAAACAACAAGUUGGGUUGUGAGCUUGUAAAACAACCAGCUGUAAUCUGUAGGAUU
RNAcentral lists this long non-coding RNA (653 nucleotides) under Phoenix dactylifera (date palm). RNAcentral describes it as "long non-coding RNA (PDAC_LNC013920)". The record is from RNAcentral. Lineage: Eukaryota; Viridiplantae; Streptophyta; Magnoliopsida; Arecales; Arecaceae.